GGGGAAUUGGAUGUACUUGUCCAUCUAGGGACAAAUGACUUGGCUUGCAAUGAGGUUUCAGAGGUUAAGGAAGUUUUUAGUGUUUUUGCCAAUGAUAUACGGCAGGUUGCUUCCACACUGUCAUUCUCUGAAGUUCUGCCUGUGCAUAACACUCAGAACGAGAGGCGGAUGCGUAUUAGGGACUUUAAUUUGUGGCUUGGUGAAUGGUGUCAGGAGCAAGGAUUUGGCUUUAUUUCUCAUGGUAGCUCUG
This is a non-coding RNA of Pelobates cultripes (western spadefoot toad), 250 nucleotides long. The record is from the annotation of a GenBank genome assembly. Lineage: Eukaryota; Metazoa; Chordata; Amphibia; Anura; Pelobatidae.